Molecule: non-coding RNA, 27988 nt
Organism: Podarcis lilfordi (Lilford's wall lizard)
Lineage: Eukaryota; Metazoa; Chordata; Lepidosauria; Squamata; Lacertidae
Source: the annotation of a GenBank genome assembly
AGACAGAGAAAGGUAUGUCCCAGUCUUGCUCUGCUUAAGCGAAGUGUUUUAUCCAUCCCAGAACACAGCCUUGAAAGGGCCUUCAGAUUUGAGUUGUGUGUUUAAUAUUUUGGACUCUGUGGAAGAAGAACAGCCAGCUUCAGCUCCCACAUCGUGCUGUCUGUGGGGGGCCCGUGUAGCAAGGAUAACAAACUCGAAGGUAGGAAUCGGGAUUUUGUAACUUCAGAAGCUAUCUCCUUUCCAAAGGUAGUUCUUUCCAGCCUCUCCCUGCAGUGAUCCUGUCAGGUUAGGGCAUUUUCAAACUGCUGCUCGCUUUGGGGUGGGAUUCAAUCACAUACCGGCAAAUUCAGGUUGCACAACCAAAGUUGUUUGGGAGGUCAUAUGCAAUUAACCCACUUCCUCAAAAGAUCACACUUUUUGCGAUAAGCAUAGUGAGCAGGAAACGCACAGGAAAGUGUAUGUGAGGGUAAUGCUUGCUUUGACACGUCAUAUAAAUUCCACACAAAUGCUUCAGGAUGAAUGCUCAAUAAAUAGGCCAUCCAGCAUCACACUUAGUUACUACUGCAUUUUACAAAUUGGGCAACUGAGGCUAUACCCACAUAAAAUAUAUUUUAAAACACACACACACACAGAGAGAGAGAGAGAGAGAGAGAGAGAGAGAUCAAGAAUCAUGGGAAAUGUGGUUCGUUAAGGGUUCUGGGAAUUGCUGCUCAGUGCGGCAUAAACUACAGGAGUCUUGGGGAAGGGCAUGUGCUUUAAAGGUGCUUUAAAUGUAUGGUGUGUUCACAGCCUGAGGCUGAGAAAUAGACAGCUUGACUGAGGCCACUGGUCACCAGCAGAGAUUUGAAACCCACCUUCCUUUCCCGAGGUGAAGGACAAGACCUCCCCCACAUUCACACACAUGCACACAGCCCAUGUGUACUUCCAGCUGAAUCUUAUUUUGGCAUUUGCAGCAGGGCAGCUUUCUGUACCACACCCAAGGGCAACAGGAUGUAGGGGGUGUGGCAUGGCACAUAUCUCCAGUGCCUCUCUGCUGCCUGAGGCGGUUGCUUCCCUCUCCCCAAUGGUAGAACUGGGACUGACUCCAGCCAAGCUGGAUAGUUACAUGGGGUAAAAAUAUGAUGGAGGGGGAGGGAAUGGGAAGCAGAUGGUGGAGGGGGAGAAGGGGUGCUUCUUCUCAACUUGAUUGUGGUCCUUUUCUCUCACUGGCUUCCGUGAUGUGGGCAGUUCAAUAUUAAUUUUAACAGGAAAUAAAUCCCAGGUCUAGUUUAUACUUUGGGGUGUGAGGAGACCACGAACAAGGACACCCAAACCCUCUAACUAUGUUGGUUUGUUGACAACGGAAGAGUGCUCCUUCAGGGGUGAAGUCUCACAGCUGGAGAGUUACAGCGCCUGCUGUGGGAUGGAGGGAUGGUGAAAGUGUGGUGCAAAGAGUGCAGAUACACACGCCGGGGCUGCAAUGUUCUCAAGUGCAUUUUCCUGGGUGCAAGACAUGCAUGUGAGAAGGUCAGUGUGGUAUAGUGGUUAGAGUAUCAGAUUAGGACAAGGGGAAACUAGCUUCAAAUCCCUGCUCAGCUAUGAAGCUCAGGGUUGAAGUAAGAUUCAACUGGGGAAGGGCCACGUAGCCCAGUGGUAGGCCAAUUUUGUCCACAGCUUUGUAUGUAGAAGGUGCCAGGUUCAGUUCCUGGCAUCUGCUGGUAGGGCUGGGGGAGACCCCUGUCUGAAAUCCUGGUGAGUAUAGGAGAUACUGAGCUAAGCAGGUGAAUGGUCUGCCUCGGUAACUGCCCUGAACCCCUGGCCUACCUGGCAGCAAGUCAGUAUGCCAAGUCCAAACUUCAAAGUCUGAGGGUUGAUCCACACAAGCGAAAUCCAAAGACCGAAGCUCAGGAAAAGAGGUUCAAGGGUGAUCCAAGUAGCCAAGUCCAAAGUCCUGCAGUCAGGAUACAGUCCUGAGUCAAACCCAAAACAUAGUCCCACGGAGGUCCAGGUCCAUCAACAUGGGCAGUUGAGCAGAGCCAGCACCUCAGCUCUGCUGCCCUUGUAUACUUUGCCUGCUGACUGCAGCAUCUGACCUUGAUGAGGCAUAUGAGCCUCACCUGUUCCUAGCCUACUCCAGCUGAGGAAUCACACCCCUUCUUUCAGAGCUAGUUUGCUAGGCUGUGGGCUCUUGCCUGCCUUAGCCUCCUGGAGUCCCCCUCCUGCUGUUCCCUAUGCUUCAGAGCCCACUGUGUUCCUGGGGACAGGGCCCCCUCUGGAUCCGGUGAUGGGUCCUGCUGCUCUGGUUCCUGUGCAUUGUCCUCUGUCACCCUGUGAUUACUUCCUACAACAGCUUCUCCUUCCCCAUCCCCUGCUUGCCUCGGUGUGUCCCAGUCCCAGCUACACCCCUUGCCGGCAUCCUCUUCCUCCUCCCUGUUGCCCUGCCAGUUCAUGACAGUAGUGGCAGAUUGUUUCUGGAAGGGACGUAGCUCGGUGGCAGACCAUCUGCUUUAGAUGCAGAAAGUCCCAGGUUCAACCUUCAUCAUUUCUGGGUAGGACUGGGAGAGGAACUCUCUGCUUGAAGUCCUGGACAGCCACUGUCAGUUAGCAUAGACAAUACUGAGCUAGGAGGGUCAGUGGCCUGACUCUAAAUAUGGCAGUUUCCUAUGUUCUUGUCAGUCUGGACAGCUUUUGUACAUGGAGUGAGAGAGGCACCAUCUUGUCCUUUGCCUCAGGCAGCAAAAUGUCUUUGGCUGACAAAAACUAUCUGGUUUAACCUGCUGUCUAUAUUGAGGGGGGGGCAGGGUAAGAGACUUUUCCUGAUUUGGGGAAUUCUCCUUCUGAAUAAGUUUGUUCCCGGACAGACUGGUACUCUUUUAUCCUCCAGGAGACCAGUUAACCUUUUCUUUGUUGUUUCACUAAGGUUUAUGUUCUAAUGCCAAUUUAGCUGCAGAAUCUUGAAAUCUGAUUUUAUGUUUACUUAGCUCAUUUGUUAGACUAUGUUCGUGUUAACAGUGUCAAUGUGUUGUAGCAGAUAAAGUUGCUAAACAUCAAAUAUUUUACUUGCCCAUUCAGUUUUGCAGCCUCAAAUUCAGUUUUGGGGAUUUCGCUGAAUGAAAAGCCAAGGCAAGUGUUAAUUUUCCAUUCCUUUUCAUCCCCUGUCUGAUUUUGCAACUCUUGCUGCAUCAAAAGCCAUCAAGCCCCUCUCACGUUCUAACCCCCCCCUCAGCCCCCCAGGCAAACAAAAAGCCCAGGCUCCACCUCCAGAGGUGACCAAAUGAUCCAGGCCCCUCUCCCUCACCUGCCAAAUCCCCACUAGGUUUCACCCCUGACCACUCAAAACCCACUGAUAGUGUUGUUGUUGUUGUUUUAAAUCUGUUAGUCAUUUUAUCUUGCCCAAGGCAACACAAAACAUCUUACAAAAACAAAACAAAACAAAACUUCUCCACAGAUACAGUAAAACCAAGGACCAAGCAUUAAAAACAUCCCAUCCACUUCUAAAAGUCCAGAGAUUGUUAAAGGCCAAAUGCCUGGUUAUAGAGGAAAGUUUGUGCCUGGCCUCUUAUCCUCCAACUGAAGCACUAUGGUUAGAUUCUUACAACGUUUUGUGGACUCUGUGGGUAAUUCAACUUAUUGCUGUUAUAUUUUUACUCUCGGGGAGCUGUGUUUGUGGCCUUUUCUGUCUCAGACGCCAAAAUAACUCGACCAAACUUGGAUACAAACUCUUUAUUUAUUUAUGGUAUUUGCAUACUGCUUAGUCAUUAGCAUUUAUAAGUGAUGUGAAUAAAAAUGAACCACAUAAGAGAAUAAAACAAUAAAAAGGCAUCAUAAAACCAAACACUGCCUUCAAAUGCCUGCUGGAACAAGAAAGUCUUUGUCAUGUGACUGAGAUUAGACCGGCACCCUCCACAAGACCUCAGUGAUCAGACUGGGAUAUAAGGGAUCAAGUGGUACUUGACAUAUCCUGAGCCCGAGUUGUUGAGGGUCUUGUAAAUUAAUGCACCUUGACUUGGGGAGGGGAGCACCAUUUGCUGUUCUACCUGGAGCAACAAAACAUCUUGGGGCAGCCUUGAUGGCUUUUUAUUGUUUGAGCGGGAAGGCAGAGGUGCAGUGCCUCAUUCAGAGCUUCUCUGACUAUGUAAACAAAAUGGCUGCCAUCCUCAUCACAACAUCUGUGUAUUCUUCUUAACAAAGUAGUAUAGCAGCUACCUCAUGGGAAGAAACUCUGCUUUCUCACAUAACAGGGCAGCAUGUUUUAGGGGUGGAAGGUGUGCCGUUAGGUUUUCUUAAAAGACGCAUCAUUGCUAUUUUCAAGUAUUAAAAAUUUGGGACAUUUCCCUUUGCUUGAUUUUAUUCAGGCCACAAUAGCUAUUUUUCUGGAUUAUCUUGACACAACCAGGACAGCUGGCAAUUUUCUUUGAAAGGGCUGGGCAAAAGUUUGGGUCACUGCAGGGUUCAAAGAAAUAAUAAUAAUUCUGGCAGCUGAACGAUGACAAGCUGGAAUUCAGUAAGUGAAGUUUUCCCUAUCACUGCACCUCCCUGCCAGGAACGGCUGCACCGGAUGCAUUUCUGUUUGUGGUGCAGCUGUUAAAGACACAGUUAGUCUGCCAGAAAAUGAGACAAUUUGUUGGAGAUCUGGCUCAUCCCCUCUUGCCCGGUAACCACUGCCUGCUGGCUCCACCACUAUGACAUUCCUUUCCCCUCCACCCGUUCACUGCCUUUUAAAAUAUUGUGUACAUCAAAAGCAUCACUGUAAAUAGACAAAGAAGACGGUGUUUUCCAUUUGUGUACAGUUAGACUCAUCAGCCAUACUCACCCACCUGUGUAUUUAAUAAUAUUAAAUAAUACGUUUUUGAGGGGGAUUAUUGGUUUGUUUUUUCUGUUUUAGUUAUGUAUUUUGAGUUCCCAUUUUGUAUUUUCCUGUUAUGGAUCUUUGGGUGAGGGGUGGUAUACAAAUUUAAUAUAUUAUUAUUAUUAUUCCAACAAUUACUGCUUAAUGACAUGGUUUCUAAGCGGUGUACAAUAAAGCUACAAAAAGCUACAACGGUGAUAAGAUCUGUUAAGAUUAACCAUAAAAUUAAAUUAAAAUGCCUGCUGAAAUAAGGUCUUCACCAAGUACAAGAAAUUCAACAAGCAAGGGGCUGAUUUCCACAGAAUACUAAAUGCAUGUCUGCAGCUGAGUAUUUGGGCCAUGGGCUCUGUAAUGGGAAAAGCAGCCCUAGGCCAAAUUCUCCCUUCUAUGUAACUUUGAAAGUCAUAGGGCUCCUUUCAGGGUUCAGACCUGGCACCUGACCCACACAAAUGCUUUGUACUUAUCUUUGGCACCCAGGCAGCCUGGGGAGAGCAGCAGAGGCAUGCCGAAAUCUGAGCAUGUAGUGGUCAUUAUGGGGUAGAACAGAGUUGUGUAAAGGGUAAGAUCAGUUUAGCUCUGAGCUAGGCCAAAUCAAGCCUCUGAUCAAAACUGCCUCCCAAGGAUUUGUUAUAUUGGUGCCACAUGCUUCCGCAGGGCAGUUCCAUAAAGUGGAUGAGGCCCAUUUGAUCUUCAGGGACACCAAUUUGCAUUAAAAAAUGUCCACAUGCUAAUUCAUAUGCAUAGAUGCAUUUAAACAGAAAUGCAAUAUGACUCACUAGAGUGGGAAAACUGUUACCAGGUGACCUGUUGGCCUGCCCAGUCAGUGGUCCGGGUGCUGCACACUGGUGGUGGGCAACUUCAAAUUCCCCUCCUGCUUUUCUUUCCAGUGGUUCCUUUUUUACUUUAAACUGGACUUGGGCCAGACACAGCUUUUCAAAUAGACGACUGCCCUCCAUAAAACAAGGACACAAGAUUACCCUCACCAUAAUCUUGAGAGGAAGGGUAAAUCGAGAGAUAGUGAGUGGGUCCACUAAGCCCCUGCACGGCCUCCAUGGCUGAACUAAAAUUUGAACCAAGGAUGCUGGACUAGGUGGGCCACUGACUUGAUCCAGCAGUAAGGCUCUUAUGUUCCUCCUGAACUACGGACCUUCCCCAAGGAAAAGAAUGAGGUUGCUACAAUCAGCAGCUGAGCCCCUUAACAAGGUUUGGGCCCUGGCAGUUGCCCUGUUUCGUUGGCCUCUGUGGCACUGGCCAUGCCCAAAGCCUUGCUAUCUGCUGAAUGUGUGCGUGUUAAUAAAAGCUGCUUUUAACAUUUCACUUAAUGAGGCAAAAUCCUUCUUACCUGCCUUGGGGGCCAAAAAGGCAAGCAAGCUCUGGAGAGCUAUUCACAUAUUUGCAUGUGCUGGUGAAAUCUGGAAAGCAGAAAGCCCCUCUCCGCAGUUUGCCCGUGACAAUAUUUGCUGGUUAAUAAAGACACCAAGGAUUUCAUUAGCAUAAGUCUGCUCAAAGUUCCAUUGGUUGACAGCUGGAAAGUGUGUGUGUGUGUGUGUGUGUGUGUGUGUGUGUGUGUGUGUGCAUGCGUGUGCACUUGCACAAGCAUGCGGGAAAGAGGAGGUUGGUGGCACUAAUUAUUAUUUUGGUUUUGCUCUUUAAGUUGUGGGGCAGGAACUGAAGAGGGGACACCCACCCCACUGCCAAGUGUGCAGAAAGAAGCUCUUUUAUGGAUGAGGAGCGAGGCAGAGUAGGGGAGAGCCACCUCACCUCCUUUGCACCUGGAAACCCCUGCAAAGCUUAGCUUGCCUUCUGUGCCGUUUUUUAAAUCCCUCCCCUUCUUUGCAAGGAAGGAACUUCUCAAGCUGAACUGUGAGAGGGUUUGCUGCUGCUGCUGCUGCUGCCGCUGCUGCCGCUACCGGCUUCCAGGGAACAGAAUGCAGAAGGCGCGAGAGAGAUGUGCAGGGAGUUUUUUUUUUCCUGUGGCAAAGUCAAGAGGAGCAUCAGAGCACCGGUGAAAGGGGGGAAGAAGAGAAAGAAAGAGAUCUUGGCAGGCUGCGGGGCACCAUCCCAAAGGCCCAUGAUGACCCCCCCACCGGAAAGGAUGGGAAAUCACCUCCAGGACUGUAAGUGAUGCUGAAGCGGGAGAGGAGCAGAGGGAAAGAGAUGGGGGGAAAUUGCUGGGCACUGCAGAAGAGUUGGGCGUGUUUAACCUUCACCAGUACAGAGCUGGUGUUGCAAAGCUUGGGCACCCAGAGGGAGGCACCUUUUGGGGGUUCUUGCAAAUGGAGGAUGGGAUGGGAUGAGCUGGGACACCCCCCUCCUUUGACAUUUUGGAAGCAGCACCAUUUGCCAGUUUUGCAAGGGUGUGUGUGUGUGUGUGUGUGUUUUGGGCAGGGGGGAGUUCCUUUGGGGAGGCUGGGGAAAUCUCUCAAAAGCCCUAGGUGGAAAAGAAGCGGCUUCUGCUGAGAGCUGCAAUUUUCUCCUUUCUGGGUGGUCCAGAGAACAGAGACCCUCUCUAGGGGAUUUGGGAAGAAUUAGGGUCAGCAGAGAGAGUUUGUCAGAAUGCUGAGGAAAAGGGAGAGGGUGGUAAAAAUAAAUCAUCCUAGCAGGGUUGCCCCUUCUUUCCCCCCCUCUGCAAUGGGGUGCAUGAUCAAGUUUUGCAGAGGAGAAGUGUCACCAAGUAAAGCAUCAAGAUCAGGUGUCCAGUCACAUUCAGGUCUGUAACUUUUGGGGACUUAUUGUGUCAAAUUCAAUUUGGAAACCAGAAUUCGUAAGACGUCUUAGUGGCUUUGAGGGCAGCGCCAUUCUCUCUUCCCCCAUGCAGAUGGGCUAGAAGAAUGAACAACCCUCGUUAAGAAGACUAAUACAAUCCUGACCCCCAUCAAUGCUGCCCAGAAGUGCAGAAUCUCCCAGUCUUGGUCAAGCGUGUAUAUUAAGUUGCUUCUGGAGCCCCAGGCCUAAAACCCUGGACAUUUGGUAGAGGCUAAUCUUGUAUACGUGUCCAAUGACAAAAACUUGUAAAAUGAGUAAGACAGACAGAUAGAUAGAUCUCAAGAGUGCACUUAAUGUGCUGCUGUGUUGUUUUAAUUAGGGUGUACAAAAAGAUGUAGAUAAAGCCUAAUAUUUACUGUGGAAUUCUCUCUCUCUUAAUCCAAAAAUGCAAAUGGAAUACUAGGCCUUGUAGUAGGGAAGCAUUAUGUUGAACUGGGCUCCUGAACACUUCAUGCUGGUUGCUAGACUUUAAAUAAAUAUAUGUUUUUUUCUAGUCUGGUUUGACACUGAUGGGCAAAAUGUAGAUUCUCUGAAGCUGGAAGGGAAAUGACAGAGGUCUGUUGAGUGGUUGAAUGUUAGUGUCGCAUUUUUGCUACUUUGACUCCAGUUGGAAAGAUUAUCUCUUUUGCUGGACCAGCUGUAAUUGAUCCAAGUGAAAUUAAUUUUGGUGGGUUUAAGCGGACAGACAGGUUAGGGUUUUUUCACUUCCUAACUGGCAGAGCUUGUUGAUUUAGAAUAGGGUGUGGAUUUGAAGAAGUUCCAGACUUAUUUUCUUGAAACCUCUCUGCUCCUUUUUUUUUUUUAAUGUGUUCAUCUGAUAAAGUGGCUAAUGCAGUCACUUUAUAAUGGGAUCGAUGGAGCUGGCAGAGGAGCAGGGCUGGCGGGUAGGGUGGGGGGGACGAGUAGAAACAGGAACUGGGCCAAGCAAUGGCAAUGAGUAGUGAAACUUGGAACAUCUCUGUUAAGUGAGUGGCUGCAGAAACCCAGGGUUGGAGCUGGAAGGAGAUGGGAUUAAAAAGCGAGAGACUUCCUUUUAUAGCAAAUGCUGGGCAGCAAAAGGAGUGUGUGUGUGUGUGUGUUUCUCUUCAUCCAAUCUGCCUUUGGCAGGUUCCCCAAGAAACUUCAUCAGUGCCUUGGCUUGGCUGGAAUCCCUAUUGCUUCACACGCGACUGAACCCCAGUCCCAACAUUCUUCCGCCGAUUCCUGAGCCCGGCAGAAUCAACAAAAUGUCCCUUCUCACAACCAUCCCAAACUAGUUCUAGGCUGUCUGGAUGACCCUCAAACCCGCCCUCCCUCCUACUCCACCUCCUCAUUCCGCUCAAAAGUAUGAACUGCAGUGUCAACGUUGGGCAACAGGCAGUUUUGAAAGGGCAGACCUUGAAAUGUGGCUGUGUGGGGCCUUUUCCUACGUGCAUCUUUCGUACAUCUGUGUCACUCGAUUUCCCUGCAGUUCCUUAAUGUAUCCUUGAUGACUGGCAGCUGAACGCAUUGUUAAGAGCUCUCUUGUUCUCCCAAAUGAUUAGGAGCUCAGGGCUUAUAUCUAUAUCCAUAUCUAUCUAUCAUCUAUCAUCAAUCUAUGCUUUCGUACGCCAUUUAUUGUGCACCGAGUGUUGCUCAUCCCUGCAAAUUUGUCGCAGCAUCCACUUGGCAUCGCUCUUGUCAAAAUCCCAUCCCACCAACUCUGAGUUUAACCCAGAUUUACCAUGAUUAUUAUUUUUUAAUUAAUCAGAUUUUCUGAAGAAAUGGUGAAUCCAGUGUAAAUGGGAAAAUAAUACAGGGCAACAUUUUGAUGAGGAUGAUGGUGCAGGACUUGCAGGUACAGGGAGCAAUGAAUCCACCAGAGAUCAUGGUGUGGAAAUGCCCUACCUAGCGCACCAUGGAUGUGCCUGGUACUUUACCAGGCACAUAACAGCUCCCUGCCCAUAAAAUCAAUUCUGGGGAGAUGCGGAGGAGGAAGAGGGAACAGAGGCAAGGGUAAAUGCAAACUGCUCUGUUUCAGAUGAACUUAUUUAGGCUUGCUUACAGGAGUGCAGGGGGCAUUAGACUUUUGGGAGCCUGUGAGCCACGUUUGCAAGGUGGAGAAACUGUCAGGGUAACACACCCACCCCCACACACACACACCCCACAACCUAUUCUAUUGACUACAACAGACAGCUGCUUUCAAGGCUAAUUCCAGCAAGGGGAGGGGAUCCUGCAAGCGCCAUGGAAGAUUUCAGCAGGUGCAUGGAUGUCCAUGGGCACCAAGCUGGCAAGUGUCACAGUCCGGUCUACGGGUGAUCGAAGUCCUGGCUGAGGAUGUUGGGACCGGGGGCAAGAUGGAGGGGUGGGAGCAGGAACGAGAAGCCAGGGGUCCAAGGGUCAGGAAGCAGGGAGUCACGAAGUCAAGAGGGUCGAGAAGCAAGGAGCCAAGAAGCCAAGGUGCAAGGAUCAGGAAGCAAGAAGCCAAACGCAGCGAGGCAGGAAACGUGUUACUGUGGCAAAGAGCCGAAGGGAAAUGCUGACCUUAUAUCUCUUCCGGCUCUAGCCACCAGGUGCAGUGACUUACCAAGCGGCCUCACCUGUGCGGCCAUGCCUUGCCUCUCCAGAACAAACUUAGGAAGGCCCCAGUCCUGCGAACCCCUACUGGUCACAGGGCCCGGCUCCUGCAUGCACUCUUGACAGGAACCCCUGCAGUAGUAUAUGGGAAACUAGAGGGUUGUGUCACAGAAUUCAUGGAAUAGGUGGCCUCUGAAGAGGGAUUGUAAGUAAGUAAGUAAGUAAGUAAGUAAGUGGUAACCUCAUGUAGUGUUCUGCACAGCAGUUCCUCACAUCUGGGCACCAAGGAUGGAUGAUGUCUUUUGAAAGAGCAGGAGCGUAUUGGAUGGCUGCAGGUGGUGGAGCUGAGACGUGAAAGUCAUGAGCCAGGGUUUAUCGCAGGAGUGGGGAACCUGUGACCCUCCAGAUGCUGUUAAACGCACAAGUCCCAUCAGCCUCAGCCAGCAUGGCCUAUCAGGGAUGAUGGGAGUUGUGGUCCAGCAACAGCAGGAGGGCACUAGGUUCCUCAUCCUUUGUUUAUCAAACAAGAAGAGCAGAGAGAUGAGGAGGAGGCAUGGCCAAGGACAGUAAAGUGAAGAAGGCAGCUGGGCUGGAUCCACCAAGAACAGACAGGAAGGCAGUGGGGGGGAUUUUUGGAGGCACUGCACAUUGUCAACGGGGAAAGGUAAACGGUUUGGGCAGCCGAAAGCUGGCUAUAGGCUAGGGAACAAGGGGCACUUCCAGGUCUUCAUCCUGACUUGUUUGCAGAGAGAACAGAUUGUGCUGCAUCAGAGCAAGUGUUAUUCCCAAACUUUCCAGUUAUUCCCGUCACUUUCCUUAUUGCAAAAAGUCUGAUCUUUUGGGGAAGCAGGAUUGUUGCACAAGCCCUCCAAAGCAACUAUAAUUGUGCAACCUGAAUUUCUCAUAUGUGAUUCCACCCAAAUAUAGUGACCCUCUGGAUGAUCCCAAGGUGAGACAAGAGAAAAGCAGAAAGGAUAUGGUUGCAGUAGUCUAGCUAAGACAUGAUUAGGGGGGUUACCUGUCUUCUAUUUCCCUUGAAAAAAGGACACUGGAGGCUUUGAAUGUCUUUGUCAUCUCUGUUUUAUUUACAAACAUGCAAGCAAGUGAAAGCAAAGAGACUCCUGCAGCAGGCACGAAAACUACUGCUGAUCCUGCAUCAGAUUCCCAAAGAGAGCAGCUGCUCCCUCCCCACCAGCUACUUCCAACUAAGCUUGAGCACAAAAUCUCCCAGCUCUCUGCCUGGCUCCAUUUGCCUGCCAGCCCCAACGGAAAAAUCUCAAGAACAGCCCCUGAGCCUGAGUUCUUACUGGCUGAAGGGUUUCACCUUCCAAAGGCAGGGAGAAAGAUUCACUCCAGAAAGAAAGCCACUCCAGGCUUGGAAACAGAUUACCUGAGAGAGAACCUUCUCAAAUAUCAAGCUACCCAAACCUUAAAUUCAUAGGAUUGUAGAAUUGUUGGAAGCACAAGGGUUAUAUAGCCUAACCCCCUGCAAUGCAGGAAUCUUUUGCCCACCAUGGGGCGAGCAUUGUUUGGUGUUGCAUUCACAUGUGCGAAGCAAGUUUUUAUGACUGACAGCUGUGCAUGUGUAAACUGAUUCCACUUUGAUUCCACUUAGCCUUUGUGGCUAAGGUGUCAUGGAAGUUCUGUCUGUGGGAAUUGCAGUGGCCUGGUCACUCAUGCGAUCCAUCAUGUCAGGUUGCAACAAACCAAUUAGGAACAUGGGAAGCUGCCUUAUACUGUGUCAGACCAUUGGUCCACCUUGCUCAGAAUUGUCUACAGACUCGUAGCAGCUCUCCAGGGUUUCAGAAAGGAGUCUCCCCCAGGCCUACCAGGAGAUGCUGAGGAUUAAACCCAGGACCUUCAGAUGCUCGACCAGUGAGCCACGGCUCCUCCCCAUACACAUGUGAACCAGUCUGGUGGCAAAUGAGCAAGCUGAAUAUACUGCCCUGUAAUGUACAAAGUGAUUUGAAGAUGCUUCUGAGAGGACCUUUGUCCUAUACCUGAAUGGUCCCAAGCCAUUCUUGGUCAUGCAAGCACUUGCAAUCAUCCACAAAAGUCAGUGAAAUGCAGCCAGAAGCACAUUUUGUGAUUUGAGACAGCAUUGCAGUUAUUAUGGGAACUGAUACUGGCUGUAUCUGUGCUUCCCCGGUUAUAAUAAUCGCCACCACUUGUAGCAUCUACAUUUUUCUAAGCUUGGUACCAAGUAGCCUCCCAAAGUGAGCCCAAACUGCAAGAGUGGGUUGAAGCGGGAAUCACAAGGCCUCAAGUUCCCUGAGAUUUCUGAGAAGAUCUAAAGAAAAUAACAAACACAGAGAGGAGGCAAUGGGAUAGGAGAGAGGAGAUAGGAAGGGUAAACUACCUGAGCAAUCUGUCUAGGAGUAUCCCUUUGAAAGGGCACCCUAGUGCAGCACUAAAACUGCUAGCAUGUUUGCAAAACUAAACAGGGUCCAAUAUGGUUUCAAAUUAGAUGGGGAAACACAUGUUGAGAUUUCUGCAUUGCAGGGGAUUGGACUAGAUGGCUCUCAAGGUUCCUUCCAAGUGUACAAUUCUAUGAUUCUAUGAAUGAGAUGGUGCAGUGGGGGCAAGGAUAUGAAGUUCCCAGUGGUGGUUGAUGAGUAUUAGAGCUGGUAGGUUGCAAAGCAGGGAGGCCAACAGUAGGUGGAGCCAGAGCAAAUGGUAGGCAGAGACAGGCAAAGCCAGAGCCAAUGACAGGCAGGGCCAACUCAUUCUAGUGUUGUCCCCAUCUUCCUCCCUGUUGAAUUCUACAGGUACUGAGGAGGAGGAAGCUGAUAAUCAGUGCCACCCCCUGGGCCAGAUAUAACCAGGCAGGUGGGGGCUGGUUGAUGGCAGACUGUGGUUGGUGGGCUCAAAUAGGUCUUCCUCCAGUGAAAGUUUCUAUCUAGAAUAAAGGGGAGCAAUGUCAAUAAUCUGGAUGGAGAAGGGCUGGUGGUAUUCCAGAAGAAAGGCUGAGCACCACAAGCAAUUGCAGAUAGAGUACUUUUAAAGUUUCCCACCACAGUGCAUGUGGGGGAAUAUUUGCAGGAGGAAGGUGAACUCCAUGUGCAAAAUUGAAUAGGGAGCCCAUAGCAAGGCUGUACUCGACCGUGUGCAAAAAGGGUUCGACAUGCAAAAGCGAAGCGGUGGAUCCUAACCUCCUCAAGAACUGCAAAUGGCUGUUGAUUAGUUUACCUGGAGGGACAGUGGGCGCUUGCAGACUGUCAGGUUUUCAGGUGAUUCAAUUACAUACUGACAGAUUCACACCACGCAAUUAGAGUUGACUGGGAGGUAUUGCUGGACAAACCCACUUCCCACUUUUUGCAGAAAGGAAAUGCACUAGAAAGUGUGGAAUAACACUUGUUUCCACCUGACCUCUCUGCAAACAUCAUCAGGAUGAAUGGCCAAUGAACUGGUCACCUAGAAGUUCCCAGUGCUUACUUGUUCUUACCAGAAGCUGCUGAAUGACAGAGGCAGCACCUGCCUGUGUUGGCUGUGUGCAGCUGAAUCAGGUGCUGCAUCAGGUACUUGCAUCCCUCUGGGAUCCUUGCUCCUCACAGGCAAUGAGGACAAGUUUAACUCCUGCUAGAGAGGGUAGCUAGUACACACCAAGCUUAGCUUUCCUCUGCUGUGCUUUGCACAGUCACUGGUAGAGUGAAGCUGAAUGAGCCAGGGAGUCAAGGGUCUGCCCUGAAGGACAGAGAGAAGAAGCAUCGCUGCAACAAGACCCACACCUUUGAGCAAAGGUUGCCAGGUGGGUGGGAUGAUUGGGGGGGGGGGAGGAUAGCAGUGGAAGGACAUGAGUGCUGCAUCCUUCUCUUAACAAAUGUAUAGAACAGAGCAACCAAAAUGGCCAAGGGGCUGGAGCAUCUCUGUUAUGGAGAAAGGUUGCAGUGUUAGGGACUGUUUAGUUGAGAGGGGAAAGGCAAAUAAUGGGAAGCAUGCUUAGGGAUGGGGAGAAAUCAAUUCAGUUCCAAAAUUUACCUAAUUUGCACUUUCUGAAACAACAUGCGAACCGAGACAGCUAUUCUUUGAAAUUUGCACUUUUGCCAAUGUUGCAAUGCAGUUCCCCAGCCGAGUGCGGUGCAUAAAAAUGCACACGCCAGAGUAAAGUGUACAUAAAAAUGUACAUGUUAGUGCAAAUAGCAUACACAAAUGCAUUGUGGUGGGGAACACUGCUUUGCAAAAAUAUGUAUAAUAGGAAAGAUUGCACACAAACAUGUAUAUUAAUGGGAAAGUAACGCCUAAACGCUAGGGAAAUUUCUUGAGGACUUAAGAAACAACAACACACCAAUGGAUGUGAAAAUGGCGAGAAGUGAAUUUAGGACCAGAAAAGCGAGAGUCUGAUAAAAACCAAAAUGGACUGAUUUCCUAACCCCAAUACAUGAUUGAGUUGUAUAACAUUAUGCAUGGUAUGGUGUAGAGAGAAGUUUUUCUCCUCUCAUAAUACUGGAACCUGAGGUUAUUCAAUGAUGCUUUAAAAGGGGAUUAGACGAAUUCACGCCAGGUCAGGCUGUGAAUGGCUACUUGUCACAGUACACCUCUGAGUACCCGUUGCUGGGGAGCAUGAAUGAGGGCAUGCUCUUGGGCUCAUGUCCUACUUGUGGGCUUCCCAGAGGCAUCUGGUUGGCCCCUGACAAAAGAGGAUGCUGAACUAGACGGGCCUCUGGCCUGAUCCUGCAGGGAUCUUCUUAUGCUCUUUCCCUAUUGCUGUACCCCUUUGCAGCCUUUGCCCCUAAGCCAGGGACGAGGAAUCUCAGGAUCAGGGGCCAAAUGUGGCCCUGCAGACCUCUCUGCCUGGCCCUCAGAACUCUCCCCAGGUCACUGGCCUUGCUUGGAACCCCCCUUGAGUGUUUUUGCCUGGUCGGAAAGGAUGCUUGCUUGGGGGGAGGAGAGCGAAGGGUGUGUGGAUGUUGUGUUGAAACUGUACAAAGAUAACAUUCACAUUUGUUACUCUAUGCACCACUGGCAUUUGGCCUUCAGAAGGUUGCCCAGAAGGGAAUGUGUCCCUCAAAAUGGGUCUCUUCCCCCCUGCUCUAAGUCUAAGCCAUUUCCUUUUCACCAUUUCCUCUCCCCAAGCCAAGCUUAUUUCUGGUCUUCAGUGGCCAGUUGGUGGGAAUGUGGCCUGGGAGAGGGAUGAAACAGAUGGGGGCAAGAGUUCAGCAUCAUCUCCCAUCUGACACUGCCCACCCCAAUCUACCGCUGUACCGUUAUGCAGCAGCAACCCCUUGUUUUAAUGCAGGCAUCUAGUUUCCCCCUUAAGGAAUGAGGCUGGAACAGUCAGUGGAAGAAGUUCUUCUUCCCCAGCCCUGCAUAAAAGGAUGGCUGGCGGGGCCUUCACUACCAUUGGGCAGAGUGAGGUGGCUGUCUCAGGUGAGAGUGGCAGGGUGCGUUGGCAAGGUGUCUUUGGGGGGGGACAGGGCUGUGUGUGCCACACGGCUGGCCCUGCCCUUCCUAAGCUGGCCUGCUUCCCCCAGAUGCAGUGGAAGAUGUCGAAGGAUGCCAGGCUCAGCUGCCACCUCCUCACAGAGCCACCUUGGCCAAGAACUGUCAGCCUCUGCAAGGUCAUGGGGCAAACUGGUUUUCCAGUCCAAGCUGGCAAGGGUUCAGCAGAUUUGUCAGCCUUCAGAGCAGAGCUGGGAAUGGAAAUGCACAGAGUCUUUCUCAUAUAUGUGUGUGUGUGUGUGUGUGUGUGUGUGUGUAUGUAUGUGUAUUGCUUUCCCCUCACAAGUAUAUUGUGCUCCAGUUGGUUCACCGAAAAUAGACAGUUGCAGGGUUAGCAAAAUGGAAUCAUAGAAUUGUAGGGUUGGAAGGGAUCUCAAAAGUUAUCUAGUCCAACCCCUUGCAGUGCAGGAAUCACAGCUAAAGAAUCCCUGACAGAUGGCCGUCCAACCUCUGUUUAAAACUCUCCCAAGAAAGAGAGUCCAGCACUUUCUGAGGUAGCCUGUUCCACUGUCAAGCAGCUCUUACUGUCAGAAAGCUCUUCCUAAUGUUUGGUUGCAGUCUCCUUUCAUUUUAAUUUGAAUCCAUUUGUUUGAGUCCUGCCCUCUGGAGCAGCCGCUCGCUCCAUCUUCCAAGUGAGAGCCCUUGAGACUGCAUGACUCUUUGCAUCACCGUGCACCUCAGAAGAGGGUUGCAGGGGAGGGGCAUUUCUGCGGCCUGGGCAGACUUUUUAAACGUCACCACUAAAGCUUUCUUCUUUGUCUUCUUCUUCAAUCAAAGACUCUGUGACCAGUUUGGGGCAUGCACUCAAAUUAUGUAUCAUGCAUAUGAAAUUCAAGGCAUUUUGAGCAACAACCCUCUCACCACCAGUUAUUUAAAACCAUAAAGCUUCACUUUAUUAAUAAUGGGUGCUUCCAGACAGUUGCUAUUUUGUAGGUGGCCACUCUGGGCAACUUAUAGCACAUAUUAAAAAUGGUAAAACAUCAGACAUGAAAAGUUUUCUGAUACAGGACUGCCUUCAGAUGUUUUCUAAUAGUCAGAUAGUUGUUUAUUUCCUUGACAUCUGGUGGGAAGGCCCUCUGCCUGGUUCCCUGUAACCUCACUUCUCUCAGUGAGGGAAAUGCCAGAAGGCCUUCAGAGCUGGACCUCAGCGUCUGGGCUGAAUGAUGGGGGUGGAGAUGCUCCUUCAGAUAUACUGGGCCGAGGCUGUUUAGGGCUCUAAAGGUCAGCACCAACACUUUGAAUUAUACUUGGAAACCUACUGGGAGCCAAUGUAGGCUUUCAGGACCGGUGUUAUAUGGUCUCAGCAGCCACUCCCAGACACCAGUCUAACUGCUGCAUUCUGGAUUAGUUAAUUAACAUUUAUUAGUCCCCACCAGGCCCCAAUGGUGGAGGUGGUGCCAUUAGAUUGCGAACCACCUGAAAGAGUCUUCUGCUGCUGUUUUAUGCAGAUGCAAUAGAGGCGGUGAAGAAGGUACUCUUCACUGUCGCUAUCGCCACUUGGUAUGCUCGAUGUUUAGCUCUAAUCCAGUCCUAUUCAGAAUGCGUUUUCCGCCACCAGCACUCAAGUGAUUGUUUCAUCGCCCUCAGCUCUGGGGGAAACCAUGGGGCUCUCUGGGCUCCAUGCAAUUGGAGAGGGUGCUUCGAAGCCAGCCAAUAGCCCUGGUUAACUCCACAUUCUAGCAGGCCACCAGGGAAUCAGCUAAGAGGCCAUCAACAUGGGAUAAAACACCUCCUACUACUCUUUGGAAACCAUUUGGAUCCAUUAAGUGGUGGGGGUGGACCAUGUUAAAGGUGCAAGAGCCCUGUCCUCUUUUCUGUCUCACCAUCCUACUUCAAAAACGAGGUCUGCAGCUGCAUGGGGAGUUUAGGGAAAGUGCAUCUCCCAGGCCACUGCUCCUGAAAGUAUCAGGUGGGCACAUCUGAAACACAACAGUGCCUGUCUCAUGUCCUUAGGUGCUUCCCACUGCAUCCCCAUGACUUCCUUCUUUCUACAGCCCAGUGAGUAUAAGGAAAGUCCUGCCUGCAUCAGCCCAAAGACUCUUAGUUGAGAAGAAAGGUGCCUAGGGCAAUAUGACACUUGUAGGUCACCACUCUAGAUGGACAAGCCAGUUCCACAGUUCCCUGUCUCUACAGGUGAGGCCACCUUGCUCAUCACAAAAUAGAGGCAUUCUACAGGUACUCAGCAACACUUACUUCCCCUUUGGAAAAGGCAAGAAGGGUAGCAGUGGCAAGUCGUCUUCCCUAUUAUGCUCAAACUCAGUCCCCAUUACAUUUGCUCCUCUAUCUUUCCCCAGCCUAAGUCCUUCUCACAAUGCUGCAACACCCUCCCUUUCUAGGUGGACCUAAUGUAUUCUGGAAGCAGAAGAGCAUUUCACAACAGUGGCAGCAGGAAAUGGGGAUACAGGAAGCUACCUUAGACCAACAGACCAUCUAGCUCAGUAUCGGCGACUUUCCCAGUCCUGCCUGCAGAUUAGGAGGGGCGAGAUGGAAGAAGAGGAAAGGGCUCCUGCACCUUUAAUAGUUAUGAAGAAGGAAUUUCAGCCAGUGUAGCCAGUUUUCACAUAAGGCACACCUGCUGAGAUUCCUCUUCUACAAUUAAAGGUACAUGAACACCAGCCUCUUCAUCCAUCCGACUACCCUACGGAAGGUGCCCGGGAUUGAACCAGGGACCUUCUGCAGGCAAAGCAUGCACUCUGCCACUGAGCUUCAGCUUUCACUUCUACUCUUCCUUCUUAUGUGUGUUCUAGCAACCUCAUAUCAGGAAUUCUAAGAAAGGUCAGGAAUUCUAAGAAACCAAAAAGCCUCAUAUAACCAACAUGCUAAAGUCUAAUUAAUGCAUGAAGGGGUUAAUGCCAUAGAGCAAUCUUAGCUCACCUUGGGAGGGACUAGAUAAUCAAGGCUUGUUCCCCUCCAGUUGGCCUAAGAAGCUCAGCAAUGUGAGGAGGUCUGAGCUGGUUGCUGCUCCUAUACCAACAAUUUAAUAAUUUAAUCACUGCAACUAAGUCAAGUUUUACUGCCUGUGCAACUUUUUCUGAAUGCUGUAUGGAAAAGCACAUGAAUCUGACCUUUGGAGAGUUUGAAAGUAAGCUACGGUAUUUUUAACUUACCAGACAUGUGGCAUUUUCUAUGCUGGGGAAGAGGGAAACUGUGGAAGGAACUUGGAAGGGCAUUUUCAAGGUCUGUAUUUCCAUGCUUUACUUUGCUGUGUAUUUUGUGAUUUAAAAUCUCUGCUGGGGUUCUCUCACCAAAGAGUACUUGCUCCAAACCUGGAUAUUUGCAUCCACGAAUUCUUCUUUUAGACCUAUUUUAUUUUUCCUUGCCACCAACCAAAACCAGUGGUUAAAACCAGUGCAAGGGUUCAGUCCACCAUAUUGAUUCAAAAUGGCAUCCAGUUGUAUCCAAACAUGCAAAAACCUGUUCCUUCAUCUCAGGAGCUAGAAUGCAAAAUUUGGCUACAAUAUCUUAAAGAGGGGUCCAAAUGCACAGUGAACAGGUUUCCAAAAUACGUAGAAUCAAGAACCAGUUGUCAGUAUGAAGGAUGGGGCUCAUCCCAGUUUGUGUGUCCAGAUUGCAAAUGGAACUGGGGAUGCUUGCUAGAGCUGAUUUCUCUCUUGCCUGGGGCAGCUUAUUUGAUAGUCCUGUAAACUUGCUGUGGUUCAGGAGAAGCCUUCAGCACCAGCCUUGAACCACAGAGACCUGGCUAUGAUUGCUUUCUGGAUUUGUUUUGCCAUUACUGACCUGAUGUCAGUGGUGUCCCCCACCCCACCUCCCAAGACCCUCAGCAAUUAACAUUCUCAGAUGCAGCAGCCCAAACAUGCCUCCAAAACUGUAUCUAGGACAGGGCUGACCUGGUGGAGCUGCCAUGGGUCUUUGGUGGGUGUCCAGAACUAGGCAAGGAAGAAAAUCUGGUGCUUUUGACAAUCUCUGAAGGGACCUGGCCAAACCCCAUUAAAUGCUGUGCAGGGAACAGACCCUUCCAGCCUUUCCUCUAUCUAGUUCUUCGUGGUGAUGGCAUUACUAUAUCAGCCUCAGGAUAACAUCCUGAAGGCCUUCUUAGUUUAGAAAGAAAGAUAACUUUGGAUGAGUACAUAAUAUACAUUUAAAGCACAUUCAAAACACAUUUUUCUCCCCUCCAAAAUCUUGGGAACCAUGGUCUAUAGAAGGUGCUGGGAAUUGUAGCUCCAUGAGGGGGGAACUACCUUUCCUAGGAUUCUGGGGUUGGGUGUAUGUGCUUUAAAUGUCUGGAGUGUAAGCAGUCUACAAAGAGGGAGGGCAAGAUAGAGGUGUAUUCAACUGUCCUUGGUGUGGAGAAAAUGCACAAAAAUAAGUUCUUCCUCACUGGGACAAUUCAAUGAAACCAGAUAAGAGGAGACUCAGAGAAAGAGGUAGCCUUCUUUACACAAUACAGUUGGCUUGCAGAAAUCACCGACACACGAGCCAGUGGUGGCCACCCAAUUAGGUUACUUUAAAGGGGGAUUAGAUGAGAAGUCUAUCCAUGCCUACUGGUCAUGAUGGUUAUAUGUUGAGAUGACUGAGAAUUUCAUUUCCAUACUUUUAAGAAAACCAGGAUGAUUUACAGUUCCUGGAUCAGAAUAGUUAUGCUUCACAGAAUGAUUCAGAUAUGGGUCAUAAGAGACUUAUGAAUUAAAGUGUGUGAAACUGAUGUGCGUCAGAAACAGGUUGAUCUGUCCAUCCCUAGUUAUUGAGAACCUCCAUGAUCAGAGGUCAUAUGCUAUUGAAAGCUGCUAGAGAGUAAUUGCUGGGGAGGACAAUUGCCUUCAUGUCCUGCUUCUGAGCUUUCCAGAGGCAACUGGUUGGCCGCUGCAAGGAUCAGGACGUUAUACUAGAUACAUAGUCCUCAGUUUUUCCACACCCAGGACCCAUAUUGAGCCCAAGCAUGUAUUUUGGGGGACCCACUUCAUAAUACAGUAGUACCCCUGGUUACGUACUUAAUUCGUUCUGGAGGUCCGUUCUUAACCUGAAACUGUUCUUAACCUGAAGCACCACUUUAGCUAAUGGGGCCUCCUGCUGCCGCCGCUUGAUUUCUGUUCUUAUCCUGAAGCAAAGUUCUUAACCCGAGGUACUAUUUCUAGGUUAGCAGAGUCUGUAACCUGAAGCGUAUGUAACCUGAGGUACCACUGUAUAUACUCUCUCUCUCUCUCUCUCUCUCUCUCUCUCUCUGUGUGUGUGUGUGUGUGUGUGUCAAGAUUAUAUAUCGCUUAAUCAAAAUAAUAUCUCUAAGUAGUUUGCGUAAAAAGUUAAAAAAUAUUCAUUAAAAUAGCAGUAAAAACAGGUUUGAUAGAUGUAAUAAAAUUGUCAAAAUAAUGAAAAACCAACAGAUUUUAAAUGCAAAUAUACACAAUAAUAUGUCCAAGUAGGCUUGCCUAAACACAAAAGGGUUUCAGCAGGCACCAAAAGCGAAGGGAUCUGUCUAAUUUCAAUAGGCAGCGAGUUCCAGAGUAUAAGUUUGAUUAAAUGUGCUGAACAAGCAUCAUGUGGCACUUGUAGAAAUGCCAGUUCCUGAAACCGCAGCAGUCAAGUGAGUAGAUAUGGGGUGAGGUGAUUGUUCCCAAGCUAUUAAGGGCUUUAUCUACUGAUAGGAACCUAUUCAAUCUAGCCUGGUAACAAAUCAACAGCCAGUGCAGAUCUCCGAGCAGGGGUGCAAUAUGCUGAUAGGAUCUUACUCCUGUCGGCGGUCAUGCUGCAGCAUUGUGCACUAACUGCAAUUUCUGGACCAAGAGCAAAGGAGGCCCCACACAGAGUGCAAUGCAGUUAUGCUGCCGCUGCCGCCCACCUUAGGUCAGGCUGAAACCCUGUACCUAGUGGCUCUUGACCUGCCAUGGGCCUAAUCCAGCAUGGGUGAGAGGUGCUGUGGCUGAGGAGGGGGUGUUGCCUGGAAAGCAUCCCAAGGGCCAGAUAGACAGGAGUGGAGGGCCGUAUUUGGCCCCUAUGUCUGAGAUCCCGCACCCUGUUUUCUGGUUUGGAUUCAAGAGCUAGAGGGGACUCAUUUGGGCUGUUGUAGGGCUUAUGCAUACUUGUCUUAAUCAUUUCCAAUAAUUUCCAAUCAGCCUUAAUCAUUUCCAAGCCAAUACACAAAGUGAAAAGCAGCUAUCCUUUGAAAUUCAUGCAGCUACAAAUUCUGCAGUUCUCCAACCCCCCAAAAAAGUAUAGCAAAAUGCAUGUAAGUUAGUGAAAACAAUGUGCAGGAAUGCAUUCUAUCAGGGGAAAUUGAUUGCAGAAAUAUGUGCAAAGUUGCAUAGAAUAAUUCAUAUAUUGGGAGAAAUGAACAGGAAAGUGCAUAGGAAUUUUUGUGUGAUUAAAAAAAAAUUGCAAACUGAUGUGGAAAUGGUGUGAACUGGACUUGAAAUGGGAAAAAUGAGGAACUGAAAAGAACCAAAACUGACAGAUUGGUCUGCCCCUAGGUUCUGCACCCAACGAACAAAUCACAGUGCAGGGAGGGGAUUUUGACCCAGUUCCUGCUAUGUUUGUGGGAGGGUUCUUAUGAUCCCAGAGGCAGAGGCAGUAGAGUGGGCCAGCAUCUCAGGAAUGCAGCCAACAACAUCUCAUAAAAAUAAUCUUGCUGGGAAAAACCCACAGCCCUCUUAUCGGACAACAAAGAGCCAGGCACCUUUGGAAAGCGCCAAAGCAGGGUACAGAAGGUUGUCCCCAGCACCUGAUACUCAGGAAUAGACCCCUUUUGUCCAUGGAGGUUCUGCUUAGCUGCCACGAUGAAAAGCCUCUGAGAGAUCUGCCUUCUGCAGAUUUGUCUAAACCCAAUCCAGCUUCCAUUCUGGAUUCUCUGGGACUUCUGAGUAAUAAGUUUAUUUCUACCUAGCAGUGCUGUGUGCGCCAGAAGCAGUUUAGUCAUGCCGGCCACAUAACCCAGAAAGCUGUCUGCAGACAAAUGCCGGCUCCCUCGACCUGAAGGUAGACGUGAGCGCCGCACUCCAUAGUCGAAUUCGACUGGACUUAACCAACCAGGGUUCCUUUACCUUAAAUAGGCAGUCUGGAUCCCAACCCUUCAAAAUCACAAUGUGAAAAGUGACAAACUCUCAGCUCACCCCUCUUGAGAGUGUGAAGCUGGCAAGAGCACCUUCUCUGCAGGCAAGUGGGAAGAUGAGGGCAGCUUUUGGAGCCGCUGCAAAGCUAGACUCCAGAGCUCCUUUGUGUUUGCUAGGUUUGGACAAACCUAACCGGCACUUUCCGAAACAAUAUGCAAACCAAAACACAUCCACCCUUUGAAAUUAACACUUUCUUGAGUUUUCCAGUGCAGUUCUCCAGUGAAGUAACGUGUCGUAAAAUGCAUAUACUAGAGGGAAGUGUGUAUUAAAAUGCAUACGAAAGUGCAAAUAGCCUACAUAUGGGGGAAUUGUUUUGCAAAACCAUGUAUAAAAGGCAAAACUGCAAAUAAAAAUGUGUAUAUUAAAGAGAAAAUUGCACUCAUCCACAUGCUUGAGAUCAGCCCUGAUGUGCUAGCUUUUUUCUGGCACAUGGGACAGCAAUACAAGCAUCCCUCUCCACCACUUCUGCAUUCUACCACUUUAUGUGGCUGUGUGUAGAUCAGGCCUGUCUCUCAGCCUCACCUACCUCACAGGGUUGUUGUGAUGAUAAAAUUGGAUGCCCAAGAAGCUCAUGAGGGGGGCACAAAUGUGAAGACCAUCUCCUCUUGUUUGCAUGCAGCAUUUGGCAAACAGAGAGGCAUACUGCCUUUGACCAGGAAGUUUUUUAAAGCCAACUUUGCUGAUGGAUGUUGGAAGAACAUCCCACUGAGGCUGGUCCCUUUGGGUGUCUCCACUCUAGCCUACCCUAGGGUAGACUACUUGCCUGCCUUCUUACUUACAAGCAGUCCAGAGGUUGGCCUUGGCUGCCAGCUUCUUCUUCCUCCUUAAUCUCAGUGUUGCCCUUGUAGAACUCAGCUCUGCCUGUCACUGGCUCCGGCUCCCCCUGCUGUUGGUCUCCCCUACCUUACGCCCUACCAGUCCCAACACAAACCAGCCACCACUGAUAACAUCUCCUCUAUGUGCUGGGCUGGCGUAAGACAUGCCUGAAGUUGCAUCCAGACUGUGUCAGUAUUUUGCAGGAGGGAUUCAAUUCUGAUUCCUGGAGAUGUAGCUUCAUGCAAUUAAAAGUGGAUUAAAGCACUCUGGUGCAACAAAUCCACUUAAAAAUAAACAGCAGGCCUUUUGUGGUUAGGAAAGUCACAGGGAAGUGCAUUUUUAAAAGUGUGGGAUAGAUGAUUGAUUAACAGGAAGAUGUAUAAAUGGCGCAGAAGCAAAUCAGGAUGAAAUCAGGAUAAAUGCUUGUGGUUGUACAACUCCACAAGCAAAUAAGAAUGAAUGGGUUCCUUUAGUAGGUGGGAUGCGUUAGGCCACCUUUUAGGUAGGGGUGUGUGUGUGUGUGUGUGUGUGUGUGUGUGUAGGUUUAAUUUUGUAUUGGGUUUUGUUUUUUUGUAUUGUGAGUCACUCUGAGCUUACAUUUUGUUUUUUUAAAAAAAUAAUGAAAAAGACAGACACCGUGAAGUCUCUGCAUAACCUUUGUGCGAGCAAAUCAGGAUGAAUGCUCAACAAACAGGUCAUCUGGAGGCAAAAUACAUGAUGGGACCCCUACAUUCCACACACAGAAGCCAACCAGAUUGGCCCUCCAGCACUGGCAACAGCACAGCAUCUUCCACAGCACCUGAGAGCCAUAGGCUAGCUUAGGGGGGCAGGCUUGCAUUAUCCUCCCAUAGCUUGCCACAACUUUCUACCUUCAUAGCGGUGGAUGCUUAAGGCAGCUGCCUCACUCUGCCCAAUGUAAGGGCUGGCCACGCCCAUGAGUUUCUCUGACCUCCACUAACAGGUUUUUCUUAUUUUUCAGGGAUCUUGCUGGGUUCCUCUGCGAGGCACAGGACAGGAGAUGAAGCUGCCCACUCCCUCUUUCGCUCCCUCCUGAGCCUACAUACUUCUUCAUAUGCCCAUAUGGAGUCGGCUGGCAUUAUGGAAUGUUAAGAAGUAUGUAUCAUUGGGAUGGGAUCCCUGCCUGGAAUGACCUCUCUUCAUCGGCUCUCGGCCUGCAAUUUUCCGGAAGCAGCAAACAACUCUGAAUACGCCACACAGAGCAGCUGCUAGAGAAGGCAAAGGAGUGAGUGCUUGCCUGUAUGCUUUUGUGCCCCUGGCGCUGGUAAAAAGGAACCAGAUCGACUGGCAAAUGGAUUUGGUCCCCUUCAACCAGCUGUAGUGGUGCAUGCAACCUCUGGAACGCCUGUCUGGUUUAACCGUGACCCUAAGAACAUACCUUUGUAUGCCACCAUCCCAUGAAGGGCAGUAAAAUGGCAGAGUUUGGGCUGCGGAAUCAAAGUUUCCAUUAUAUUCUCUCUCUCUCUCUCUCUCUCUCUCUCUCUCUCUUCCUCACUCCUUUCAUUUCCAGCAACGUGUUGUAAACAUAGCUUGGAAAUAGUUUGGCAACAUUUGCUGAAAUCUCAAAAGCCAGGAAACAGUUGUGGAAGGUGUUCAGAUAUUUAUGUGUAUUUAAAGAAUUUUUAUCCACAAAAUGAGCCAAGUAAAUUAAUGAAUCCCAAGUAUCAAUACAAACAAGAUGGUUCUUUCCCAUAGACUGAAGGGUUGUCCACACUUCUGCUUGCCCUGUGCCAAGAAAGCACAGGUCUGAGCAGUUUUGCUUUUGUCCUCCUCCUUUCCGCUCAAAAACCUGUUCUUUAGUGCUAAAUUGAAGCAAACGUCAAUCUGGAGAAAACCCAACUGAUGUUUGCACCAAUAGAGCGGGUUAUGCCGGGAGAAAGUGAUGGGGUUAAGUGGAAGUGUGGAUGAGCCCUGACAGUCUAAAAGAUAUGGCACAAAAGGAAAAGAAAUGGGGAGGGAGGAAAUCUAGUCAAGAGGCAGGGGUUUCAGUAACCUGUAGAACUCUUUGCCCCUCUUGGGACUGGCAGAAGCAGAACGAAUUGUGCAAAACAGUAAAAAUUCUAAAUAAAUGUUUCAACACAUGUCCUGCUGGACAAGGCCAAAGGCCCAUCUAGUUCAGCGUUUCCAGUGGUGGCCAAUAGAGUACAGAAACAGCAAAAAAAAAAACCCCAUCCCUGGCCACGAUUUCCAUUUCAGCAGCAUAAUUAACUUGUGGAACUUACUAACACAUGGUAUGAAGUGUCCAGUGGCAAUAGGGAGUGGGGAUUCCUGUACUAUUCACAUUUGUACUGUAUAGAAGAGGGAAAGUUGAAGGGGUAUCUUUUCUCACCCUGCAGGUCUCUGGAAUGACAAAUAGCACUUGCCAAAAUCUUUUUUAUACAAGACCAUCACUGUAUAGCUCUACCCUACAUGGUUGAUCUCUAGAAGGCCCCACGUCAGUCCCCAGAUAUAAAGGGAUGUUGGGCACCAGAGCUUGGAAACGCCUUCCUUGUGGGCCUUGGGGAGCUGUUGCUCAUCAGAAGUCAAGAGUGCUGCCCUGAAUGAGCCAGCAGUGUGACUCAGAAUAAGGCACACAGGUGUUCACAGGUGUCUUCUGCUUCUGGUCACUGGGGAGGCAACCUGGGGGAAUCAAGGUUUCAAUUGCCCCUGAGCCUGGAUACCUCAGGCUCCCCACUGCCGCAUUCUGCAUUUAGGGAGAUCAACCACGGCUUGCUGGUCACAUGCUGACUUUAGCAUUAUAGUCUGAGGAGCUGCAGGGUUCACAUUGUGGACUCAGGUGCCAAAGGAUCAAGCGGAUGGUCUACCAAAAGCAGGCUAGGGGAUGCCUCCCCCCCACAUCCAUACAUAAUUGUGAACCACAGAUCACUCAGUAUAUAUGUUGUUCCCCAUCUCUGCUCCUUCACACCCUGUUUCUGUGAGUUGAUGGCAGUUGGAUUUUUAAUUUGUUUUUUAAUUAAUAGAUCAUAGUUAACCUGAGCUGGCCGUUUCAGUCCUUCAGAAAUUUAAUCCUCAAAGAUGGGAUGGGCUUAUUAGUGGACAUUAAAUCAUAUCUUCUGGCUAUGCAAAGCAUCUCUUGCGUGAACAUUAAAUAACGUGAUGGAUUUUGGCCCGCGCCCACCAGCCCAUUGCUUUUGCUAACCAUGCAAAGAGGCAAAGAGUGCUGCAGGAGGACACAGAAGCCCCGCCUGCUAGAUCAGGAGGCAAGUGAAACAACAUCCAUGAAAAUCCUUAGAAACACAUUGGGGGGGGGGUGUUUCACUAGGAGAGAAGUUUAGUUUUUAAAAGCUUUAUUGCUUAAAGGGUUUACAUGGGUGCCAUAGAGCAAUCCAUUGCUGUAGGGAAGGCAAACAAUCCACAUUGCUUAAGCCAAGUGCGAACAUGGUAAGAUUCCUUUCCAGCCCCAUCAACCAGCAAUCUGUACAGUGGCACCAUGUUUGGGGGGGCCCCAGGCACCCACAAAUUUUUUGUUGUGGGUACCCAGCCUCCACAUCCCACCCACACUGUCUGCCACUGCCACUCCCCUGUCAUGUGCCACGCACACCCCCACCUGUGCAUCCCCGGGGGUUGGGCUUCCACCGUGGGGCCUCUGAGGCCCCUUGGCAGAUGCAGUUUCAUGGUAAGGCAGUGGGGCCCUCAGGGAAAAUGUGCCAUGAAAGAAACUAGGCCUGUGCAGGCCCAAUUUCUUUUAUGGCACACACGCGCCACAACAAAAUGGCGUCUCAGCAUGAUGUUGCGACAAGUGUGCUGGGCACCCACAGUUGGGGAGCCAAAUUGGCACCCCUGCGUCUAUAUAGUCCUUGGGCCAGACCAGAAAUCCGUAUUGUGUAAGGUGACAAAACUUCAUUGUUUUCUAAAGGUGUUUCUGGAUUGCAUUCUCAGAUGACAACCCAUUCAGACUGUUUUUUUAAAAGCUUUUUAUGUCACCAAGACUGCUAAAGCUUUUUUUUUUUUAACCUAAAUUAAGCUACAAUGUGUGAACAAAUUGUCCAAUUUUAAAUUUUAAAACUGUGUUGGAAAGCUGAUGGAUUUCUUAGAAAUAACUACAGUGCGGAAAUGACUGGCAGAAUCCAAGACCAGGGAGAAGAGUCGAUGGAAGAAGAUUGGAAAAAGUUUAAAGACUAUCUACAGAAAUAUUGUAAAAUUAAUGAAUGCUAGAAUGAUGUUGGAAAGAAACUAAGUGAACUUUAGCUGAAAGGUUACAAGGAAUAUGAAAAAAUGGAUUAUUAAUAUGUAAAAAUCCAAAAUUACAAUACUUUAUGAUUAAUGAUUAGGAUACAUAAAGAGGGGAGGGAUUUGCUGAACAAAAUAAUUGAACUGGAAUACAAAAAAGGGAGGUGUGAGGAGGUCCUGGAACUAAGCAAAUGAAGGUUAAGUAAUGGAAGGAAUGAAUUGUUUUUAAAUAUUUUUACUUUGUAUUUUCUUUUUGUGUGUGUGUGUUUUGUAAUAUCUUGAAAACUUCAAUAAAUAUCUUAUAUAUAUAAAAAAAAAACAACUACAGUGGUACCUCGGGUUACAUACACUUCAG